This is a long non-coding RNA of Physella acuta, 549 nucleotides long. RefSeq lists it as uncharacterized. NCBI's taxonomy places the organism in Eukaryota, Metazoa, Mollusca, Gastropoda, Physidae. The record is from RefSeq and is a predicted model, not a curated record.
GUCGACAGUCAAGCAGAUCUUCUGCUACUGGUCAAUUAGCACAUCAAGUGGCAACAUUUUAUCUAUAAAUUUCGUUUCGAUAUCAACUGACGUCUCCUGCAAAUCAUUUGUUGCCGUUUAUCAAAGAACACAAACUGGAGACACUUUGUUUGGAAAAUACUGUGGCACUCAAAAUCCAGGAGUGAUACGCAUUCUCGGACCAAAUGCUUACAUAGUUUAUCAAUCAGAAGAAGAUAUACCAAGAAAUGGCUUCCUUGCAAGAGUAAACUAUUGUCGUCCUUUUUACUACGGCUCUGAAUUAUGCACUAAUCCGUGCACCUGUGUACAGGCGAAUUCCUUAUCCUGUAACAGCCUUACUGGAGCGUGCACCUGCAAAUCUGGCUGGACAUCUGUGGACUGUUCUAUUGAUAUUAAUGAAUGUCUUCAAACUCCUUGUUCUCUAACUCAAAAAUGUAUCAAUACUCCAGGAAGUUACUCCUGUCAAGCGGGUACAAUAAAACCGUCUUAAAUAAUUAAUUAGCUUUUUGUAAUGCGGGCUUAAAAUGGCUC